UACGUAGGGGGCAAGCGUUGUCCGGAAUCAUUGGGCGUAAAGAGCGCGUAGGCGGCCCUGUAAGUCCGCUGUGAAAGUCAAGGGCUCAACCCUUGGAUGCCGGUGGAUACUGCAGGGCUAGAGUCCGGAAGAGGCGAGUGGAAUUCCUGGUGUAGCGGUGAAAUGCGCAGAUAUCAGGAGGAACACCGAUGGCGAAGGCAGCUCGCUGGGACGGUACUGACGCUGAGGCGCGAAAGCGUGGGGAGCGAACAGG
Molecule: ribosomal RNA, 253 nt
Filed under: uncultured bacterium
Lineage: Bacteria
Description: partial 16S ribosomal RNA
Rfam family: Bacterial small subunit ribosomal RNA
Source: RNAcentral